AUGCUUGUUUCAGCAGUACAUACACUAAAAUUUUAAUGAUACAGAGACAAUUAGCAUGGCCCCUGUGCAAGGAUGACACAAAAAA
This 85-nucleotide small nuclear RNA is filed under the name Chlorocebus sabaeus (green monkey). Lineage: Eukaryota; Metazoa; Chordata; Mammalia; Primates; Cercopithecidae. The record is from RNAcentral.